UGAGUUGACACAGCACAUGUUUCAGA
This 26-nucleotide non-coding RNA is filed under the name Homo sapiens (human). The record is from RNAcentral. Lineage: Eukaryota; Metazoa; Chordata; Mammalia; Primates; Hominidae.